Molecule: RNA transcript, 578 nt
Organism: Amyelois transitella
Lineage: Eukaryota; Metazoa; Arthropoda; Insecta; Lepidoptera; Pyralidae
Gene name: general vesicular transport factor p115-like
Exons: 2
Source: RefSeq, a predicted model, not a curated record
GAAAAUCUUCCGAACUUCGGGGAGCAAAAUAUUUUUACAAAACGUCAAUGUCACACAAAAUCAUUGCUAUUUGCUGUCCUGUCACUCUUAGCUGUCAGUCUAAUGUCAAGUGAAGUGUCAAAUAUAAUAAUGCUUUGACGUGACGUGUCUUAUUAGAAAUUUGGAAUAUUUUACUGUGUGUUUCUCUAUUUUACGACAUGAUUUCGUUAUAAUAAUAACUGUGCUAGAUAUAAAUAGAGUAGUGAGUGCUCUGCAAUAUGGAUUUCCUAAAAAGCGGCCUCAAAACUGUCCUUGGGGCUCCAGAGCCCGGUCAACAACCUUCGGCAGCCGAAACGGUGGAGCGCCUAGUGGAUCGUGUCAACAAUUCCACGUUAUUAGAAGACCGUCGCGAUGCCUGCCGCGCGCUCAAAGCUAUGUCCAGGAAAUACCGGGUGGAGGUUGGGGCACAGGGGAUGGACACAUUGAAACAGGUACCCAUUUACCAAAUUAUUAUAAAAAAAAUUUCUGCUACUGACUAAUGAUUGAAAUGGAUAUUGUAAAGGCUUCCACUGUUUGUCUUUUGUUAAAUUAUUCAAUAA